AUUCCGGUUGAUCCCGCCGGGACCUGACUGCUAUCGGAUUGAUACUAAGCCAUGCGAGUUUUUGUAGCAAUACAAGGCAUACGGCUCAGUAACACGUAGUCAAUCUAACCUAUGGACGAGGAUAACCUCGGGAAACUGAGAAUAAUACUCGAUAGAUCAUUAUGCCUGGAACGGUUUAUGGUUAAAAUGAAUUUCGCCAUAGGAUGGGACUGCGGUCUAUCAGCUUGUUGGUGAUGUAAUGGACCACCAAGGCUAUAACAGAUACGGGCUCUGAGAGGAGAAGCCCGGAGAUGGGUACUGAAACACGGACCCAGGCCCUAUGGGGCGCAGCAGGCGAGAAAACUUUGCAAUGUGCGCAAGCACGACAAGGUUAAUCCGAGUGUUUCCUGCUAAAGGAAUCUUUUGUUAGUUGUAAAACCACUGACGAAUAAGGGGUGGGCAAGUUCUGGUGUCAGCCGCCGCGGUAAAACCAGCACCUCAAGUGGUCAGGAGGAUUAUUGGGCCUAAAGCAUCCGUAGCCUGUUCUAUAAGUUUCCGGUUAAAUCCAUUAGCUCAACUAAUGGGCCGCCGAAAAUACUGUAGAACUAGGGAGUGGGAGAGGUAGACGGUAUUCGGUAGGAAGGGGUAAAAUCCUUUGAUCUAUUGAGGACCACCUGUGGCGAAGGCGGUCUACCAGAACACGUUCGACGGUGAGGGAUGAAAGCUGGGGGAGCAAACCGGAUUAGAUACCCGGGUAGUCCCAGCGGUAAACGAUGCAGACUCGGUGAUGCGCUGGCUUGUGGCCAGUGCAGUGCCGCAGGGAAGCCGUUAAGUUUGCCGCCUGGGAAGUACGUACGCAAGUAUGAAACUUAAAGGAAUUGGCGGGGGAGCACCACAAGGGGCGAAGCCUGCGGUUCAAUUGGAUUCAACGCCGGA
Molecule: ribosomal RNA, 915 nt
Filed under: uncultured archaeon
Lineage: Archaea
Description: bacterial SSU rRNA
Rfam family: Archaeal small subunit ribosomal RNA
Source: RNAcentral